AUCUGAAUAACUGCACUUCAUAUGAAAUAAACGAAAUUUUGAUUUAAUAAUAUUUUUAAAUUGAUUUUAAACUUUCGAUUGCUUUUUCUACAAACAUUAUGAGCUGAUAAGAGUUUGCAUUGUCUAAGUAAACACUAGAAGGUUCUAGAACUCACGUUAGAUAUGUUACAUCAAUUGUAAUAGAUUUGUUAAUAAGAAAUAAGUUUUCUCGGGGUUUAGUGUGAGAGUGAUGCUAUGCAAUACAGAGGUAGCGAACGAUACGGGAUAAAGUAUUCAGUGAACAGAUUUUCCGUUUGACAAAAAUGAAACUAAUGUUAAAGGCCAAUGAUUUAAAAAGUGAAAUUUUAAAAUAAGAACAUCACCGAAUUCCGAGCACCCGUCCCAUACUAAAUUGGCGGCAACGUCCACGCAGCUGCGUGGCCAAGAGACCUUGAGAGCAAGUGCCAGUGGCCCGGAGCUGUUCGAAAUUCAAAAUGUAACCAACGGAAAGCGAAGCAAAAAGUUCGCAUUGGCUGUAUGUCGUUUGCGGUUAUCAUUAUGUUUCGUUAUAAUUUUCUUUCAGUCGGUAAAAGGAAGUGUCAAAUUAGCGGACCAAUUUCGAAAUUGGGUCUCGAGGUUAUCAUGUCAGGUUUGACUUUUUUUUUUGUAAGCCAAUAUACAUCGCAGACGUAUUUAUUUCAAAGUAUUUCAUAUCACAAAAUUACCCCUUUUUGGGGUAAGUUCUGGGGUAAUCUCUAUGCAUAGAAUAUGUGUGGUGUGAAAAAUAAAACAAAAUAUAUUUCAACAAAUGAAAGAAAUUUAUUGUAUACAGUUUGUUUUAAAUAUCCUCACACACCUUUACAUCUGCCUCACCGCUCUCGCCAUCAACUUUAAGAUAUUAACGUAAGAUAUAAAGGUCUUAAAGAUAAAAUGUCAUUACACAAUAUGAAAGAAUGUCCACCUCGAAUGUCGCUACGUUAGCUAUAUGAUAUAAGAGACUGUUUCCAACAUACACAGUGCACAAUUCCACAUUUUCAAAUCAACAUUUUGCCGCCAAGCGACCUUUUGGACGUUAAUUCUCAUAUUUUCUUUUAUAUAUUUUCAGUCGAAUCGCCGGAAGCUUAGCUUUCAUUAAUUUGUUUUGCUCUAAUUUGACUAGAUUCAAUACAGAAGUGCCAAUUUACCGAAACUCGCUUAGCAGAUGAAA
Molecule: long non-coding RNA, 1186 nt
Organism: Danaus plexippus (monarch butterfly)
Lineage: Eukaryota; Metazoa; Arthropoda; Insecta; Lepidoptera; Nymphalidae
Exons: 3
Source: RefSeq, a predicted model, not a curated record